This 455-nucleotide long non-coding RNA is filed under the name Brassica napus (rape). RNAcentral describes it as "long non-coding RNA (BNAP_LNC007032)". The record is from RNAcentral. Lineage: Eukaryota; Viridiplantae; Streptophyta; Magnoliopsida; Brassicales; Brassicaceae.
AUGAGAAAAAAAAUGAAAAUUGAUAUAAAGUUUGGUGUUCUUAAGUUCAAAGAGAUUAGACAAAGGUUGGAAAGUGUUAGUUUGGGAAAAUGUAAGAGCUUUAUGCAAAAAAAGGUUACCAAAUGGAAAAAAAAAUCAGACAUGGAAAUUUACCAAAAUGCUCAAUUCUGUUAUGAAAGAGCAAACAUGGAAGAAAACUCCGUUAGAAGAUUCCAGGAAGUCUUCCGAGAAGUCUUCCGGAGUCUGACCCAUAUCUGAAAAACAUGUAUAUUCAAACCUUGAUCUGAAAAACUUGCAUAUCCAAAAACGUUCAGAUGGCUUCAAAAAGAGAAAAUGACUGGUUGGAAGUUUUAAUGAGAAUCAUUAUAUUUUUGUUGCAGCCAUUUGAGAGGAAGAAAUAGAAUGUGUACAUUUUUUUUAUAUGGAAACAAAAUUUUUCUAUUUAGGUUAAAUAU